AGCCAAAUCCUCCAAGCCACAAAUAUAACAAAUUAAGCAAAAGAUAGAUAAAAUGAGAGCUGAAAUGAUUAAACCUAUUCACUUCCUAUCCUCAAAGCAACAUACGCAAGUCAAAGAUUAAUAAAUACCAUGUUUAGAUAUGUAAAAUGCUACUGCAGUUUUUCUCAACUUGAUAAGCGGUAAGGAAAGACUCAAAUAUUGCAGAGGAAUGAUUAAGCAUAAUGUAGCAGUUGAAUAUAGAAACAAGGAAUGAAAAAGAAAAAAUUGUUUUAGCAUGGUUCAAACAAAAUUAAAAGAGAGAAGUAAUUCCUGUCCCUUAUGCAAGCCUAUUCCACAGUGAAGAGUGCAACUUUGACAAACUUGGAGAAGUAAAGUACAUAUCAAUACAACUCAACUCAACUAAGACUUUACCCAAAAGAUUUGAGGUCGGCUAUAUGGAUUUGCUUUCUCCACUCUAAACGACUUUGGGUUAAAUCCUCAGAAAUG
Molecule: unclassified non-coding RNA, 486 nt
Filed under: Hevea brasiliensis (rubber tree)
Lineage: Eukaryota; Viridiplantae; Streptophyta; Magnoliopsida; Malpighiales; Euphorbiaceae
Source: RNAcentral